GUAAUGUCGAAAUAUCAUAUACUCAAUACAUAGGUAUAUGAAGAAGACCUGGCGAAGUGAAACAUCUCAGUAACCAGAGGAACAGAAAGAAACAUAUAUCAUCUUUUUUCUCUACGAGUAACGAUCUCUUUUAUAAGGGUUAGUUGCUCGUAUUGGAAAAUUUGAUUUCGAUUCCGUGAGUAGUGGCGAACGAAAGCGGAACAGCCCAAACCUAUACUGUGUUGUAUUAUUAAUUUUAAUGUCCUCGGAUGUUUUUUGCGAUAAUACUUAAAGGACAGGCCGUUGCAGAAUAGGUGUUGUAGGAUAUAACGUAGGUUACCUGAUAGACCUGGUUAUGUAUAUUAUUUAUAGCUGAAGACUCCUGGAACGGAGCUCCACAGACGGUGAUAGACCCGUAGGCGAAAUAUAUUUUAUACAUUUCUGUUAUAUUCCUGAGUAGGGCGGGACACGUGAAACCCCGUCUGAACCCGCCGCGACUAUGCGGUAAGGCUAAAUACGUUUUGUGAUCGAUAGUGAACUAGUACCGUGAGGGAAAGGUGAAAAGUAGCCCGGAGAGGGCGAUGAAAUAGUAUUUGAAACCAUGUGCUUACAAAGAGCAGGAGUCCUAAGUCACUUUUGUGACGGGAUGACUGUAUUCCUAUUGAAGAAUGAGCCUGCGAGUUACUCAACGUGGCAAGGUUAAGCUCCUUUGGAGCGGAGCCAUAGGGAAACCGAGUCUGAAUAGGGCGUUAAGUCUCGUUGAGUAGACCCGAAACUGAGUGAGCAAUCCAUGACCAGGGUGAGUCUUGAUGAUAAAUCAAGAGGAGGCCCGAACCCACGCGCCGUGCAACACGCGGGGAUGAGUUGUGGAUAGCGGAGAAAUUCCAAUCGAACUCAGUAAUAGCUGGUUCUCCUCGAAAUAGCUUUAGGGCUAGCUGUAUGUGUUCCUUCUGGGGGUAGAGCACUGGAUGGAAAGUGGGUCCUUCGGGAUACCCUUUCCAAUCAAACUCCGAAUACCAGAAGUCAAAAACAUGCAAGUUAGACUAUGGGGGCUAAGCUUCAUAGUCGAAAGGGAAACAGCCCAGAUCGUCAAUUAAGGUCCCUAAAUCACUGCUAAGUGUUAAAGGUGGUGUUAAUUCUUAUACAACCAGGAAGUUGGCUUAGAAGCAGCCAUCUUUUAAAGAUAGCGUAACAGCUCACUGGUCAAGAGUUUUCGCGCCGAAAAUGUACCGGGGCUAAGCAGUGUACCGAAAUUACGAAUUCAUGAUCUCUUCGGAGCAUCAUGAGUGGUAGAGGAGCAUUCCUAUCUGCGUCGAAGCAGGAUCCGCGAGGGCCUGUGGAGCGAUGGGAAGAGAGAAUGCAGGCACAAGUAGCAAAAAUGCCAGUGAAAGUCUGGCACACCGAAAACCCAAGGUUUCCAGGGCAACGUGAAUCGUCCCUGGGUUAGUCGAUCCUAAGGCGAGGCCGAAAGGCGUAGUCGAUGGAAGAGCAGGUUAAUAUUCCUGCACUUGGUAUAGUUUGUUGUAUUGCCGCAUCUCAACGGCACGAGCGUUUUUUGGCUAUAGACGUUCCGCAAGGUAAAGACAACCUCUCCGGAGUGAGUCAAUUCGUGUUAGAGAGAUGCCUAGAAAAACAGUACAACGCUAGGCUAUAUCAAUCCGUACCGCAAACCGACACAGGUGGGUAGGUCGAGAAGACCAAGGUGUACGAGAGAAACAUGGUUAAGGAACUCGGCAAAACAGCGGCCGUAACUUCGGGAUAAGGCCUGCCCUGAGCAAUCAGGGCCGCAGCGAAAGACUACACGCGACUGUUUACCAAAAACACAGCUCUCUGCUAAAUCGUAAGAUGAUGUAUAGGGGGCGAUGCCUGGCCAGUGUCAGAACGUUAAAGGGAUGGGUUAUCCUUCGGGAGAAGCUUUGAACUGAAGCGCUGAUGAACGCCGGCGAUAACUAUAAUCGUCCUAAGGUAGCGAAAUUCCUUGUCGGGUGAGUUCCGACCCGCAUGAAUGGCACAACGAUGUGUAGACUGUCUUGACCAUGUACUCGGCGAAAAUGCAAUUGUCGUGAAGAUGCGACAUUGCCGCAGCAAGACGAAAAGACCCCGUGAAGCUUUACUACAGUUUGAUAUUGGUACAUUGCUUCAUAUGUUCAGCAUAGGUGGGAGCCUUCGGGCACCAGUGAGAUACCACCCUUAUGCUGUGAUGUACCUAAUCUAUUACCAUGAAUCUGGUAAUGGAGACAGUGUCUGAUGGGUAGUUUAACUGGGGCGGUUGCCUCCCAAAAUGUAACGGAGGCGUUUACAAAGGUUG
Molecule: ribosomal RNA, 2287 nt
Filed under: marine metagenome
Description: bacterial LSU rRNA
Rfam family: Bacterial large subunit ribosomal RNA
Source: RNAcentral